GGAAACGACUGCUAAUACCCAAUAGGCCGAAAGGUGAAAGAUUUAUUGCCUGGAGAGGAGCUCGCGUCUGAUUAGCUAGUUGGCAGGGUAAGAGCCUACCAAGGCAGCGAUCAGUAGCUGGUCUGAGAGGAUGAGCAGCCACACUGGGACUGAGACACGGCCCAGACUCCUACGGGAGGCAGCAGUGGGGAAUUUUCCGCAAUGGGCGAAAGCCUGACGGAGCAAGACCGCGUGAGGGAGGAAGGCCUUUGGGUUGUAAACCUCUUUUCUCAGGGAAGAAGCAAGUGACGGUACCUGAGGAAUCAGCAUCGGCUAACUCCGUGCCAGCAGCCGCGGUAAUACGGAGGAUGCAAGCGUUAUCCGGAAUCAUUGGGCGUAAAGCGUCCGCAGGUGGCCACUCAAGUCUGCUGUCAAAGACCGGGGCUCAACUCUGGAAAGGCAGUGGAAACUGAGGGGCUAGAGUGCGGUAGGGGUAGAGGGAAUUCCCAGUGUAGCGGUGAAAUGCGUAGAGAUUGGGAAGAACACCGGUGGCGAAAGCGCUCUACUGGGCCGCAACUGACACUCAGGGACGAAAGCUAGGGGAGCGAAAGGGAUUAGAUACCC
Molecule: ribosomal RNA, 603 nt
Filed under: uncultured Chroococcales cyanobacterium
Lineage: Bacteria; Bacillati; Cyanobacteriota; Cyanophyceae; Chroococcales
Description: bacterial SSU rRNA
Rfam family: Bacterial small subunit ribosomal RNA
Source: RNAcentral